Arabidopsis thaliana x Arabidopsis arenosa is the source of this 98-nucleotide non-coding RNA. The record is from the annotation of a GenBank genome assembly. Lineage: Eukaryota; Viridiplantae; Streptophyta; Magnoliopsida; Brassicales; Brassicaceae.
AAAAAGGAUAAAAUGAUGCAGAAAGUCCGAGUUAAGCUGCUGGGCGAGAGUAGUACUAGGAUGGGGACCUCCCGGGAAGUCCGUGUGCAUCCCUUUUU